GAUGAACGCUGGCGGCGUGCCUAAUACAUGCAAGUCGAACGAGGUGCUUUUGUAGCAAUACGAGAGUAUCCUAGUGGCGAACGGGUGAGUAACGCGUUGGUGACCUACCCCAAAGUGUGG
RNAcentral lists this ribosomal RNA (120 nucleotides) under uncultured bacterium. Its description in RNAcentral is "partial 16S ribosomal RNA". It matches the Rfam family "Bacterial small subunit ribosomal RNA", at positions 28 to 141 of the family's 1533-position model. The record is from RNAcentral.